RNAcentral lists this ribosomal RNA (253 nucleotides) under uncultured bacterium. RNAcentral describes it as "partial 16S ribosomal RNA". The stretch from base 27 to 253 matches the Rfam family "Bacterial small subunit ribosomal RNA", at positions 550 to 776 of the family's 1533-position model. The record is from RNAcentral.
UACCAGCACCCCGAGUGGUCGGGACGAUUAUUGGGCGUAAAGAGCUCGUAGGCGGUUUGUUGCGUCGGCUGUGAAAUCCCGAGGCUCAACCUCGGGUCUGCAGUCGAUACGAGCAAACUAGAGUGUUGCAGGGGAGACUGGAAUUCCUGGUGUAGCGGUGAAAUGCGCAGAUAUCAGGAGGAACACCGGUGGCGAAGGCGGGUCUCUGGGCAACAACUGACGCUGAGGAGCGAAAGCGUGGGGAGCGAACAGG